GUUAAGCGACUAAGCGUACACGGUGGAUGCCCUGGCAGUCAGAGGCGAUGAAGGACGUGCUAAUCUGCGAUAAGCGUCGGUAAGGUGAUAUGAACCGUUAUAACCGGCGAUUUCCGAAUGGGGAAACCCAGUGUGAUUCGUCACACUAUCAUUAACUGAAUCCAUAGGUUAAUGAGGCGAACCGGGGGAACUGAAACAUCUAAGUACCCCGAGGAAAAGAAAUCAACCGAGAUUCCCCCAGUAGCGGCGAGCGAACGGGGAGCAGCCCAGAGCCUGAAUCAGUGUGUGUGUUAGUGGAAGCGUCUGGAAAGGCGCGCGAUACAGGGUGACAGCCCCGUACACAAAAAUGCACAUACUGUGAGCUCGAUGAGUAGGGCGGGACACGUGGUAUCCUGUCUGAAUAUGGGGGGACCAUCCUCCAAGGCUAAAUACUCCUGACUGACCGAUAGUGAACCAGUACCGUGAGGGAAAGGCGAAAAGAACCCCGGCGAGGGGAGUGAAAAAGAACCUGAAACCGUGUACGUACAAGCAGUGGGAGCACGCUUAGGCGUGUGACUGCGUACCUUUUGUAUAAUGGGUCAGCGACUUAUAUUCUGUAGCAAGGUUAACCGAAUAGGGGAGCCGAAGGGAAACCGAGUCUUAACUGGGCGUUAAGUUGCAGGGUAUAGACCCGAAACCCGGUGAUCUAGCCAUGGGCAGGUUGAAGGUUGGGUAACACUAACUGGAGGACCGAACCGACUAAUGUUGAAAAAUUAGCGGAUGACUUGUGGCUGGGGGUGAAAGGCCAAUCAAACCGGGAGAUAGCUGGUUCUCCCCGAAAGCUAUUUAGGUAGCGCCUCGUGAAUUCAUCUCCGGGGGUAGAGCACUGUUUCGGCAAGGGGGUCAUCCCGACUUACCAACCCGAUGCAAACUGCGAAUACCGGAGAAUGUUAUCACGGGAGACACACGGCGGGUGCUAACGUCCGUCGUGAAGAGGGAAACAACCCAGACCGCCAGCUAAGGUCCCAAAGUCAUGGUUAAGUGGGAAACGAUGUGGGAAGGCCCAGACAGCCAGGAUGUUGGCUUAGAAGCAGCCAUCAUUUAAAGAAAGCGUAAUAGCUCACUGGUCGAGUCGGCCUGCGCGGAAGAUGUAACGGGGCUAAACCAUGCACCGAAGCUGCGGCAGCGACGCUGAUGCGUUGUUGGGUAGGGGAGCGUUCUGUAAGCCUGUGAAGGUGUGCUGUGAGGCAUGCUGGAGGUAUCAGAAGUGCGAAUGCUGACAUAAGUAACGAUAAAGCGGGUGAAAAGCCCGCUCGCCGGAAGACCAAGGGUUCCUGUCCAACGUUAAUCGGGGCAGGGUGAGUCGACCCCUAAGGCGAGGCCGAAAGGCGUAGUCGAUGGGAAACAGGUUAAUAUUCCUGUACUUGGUGUUACUGCGAAGGGGGGACGGAGAAGGCUAUGUUGGCCGGGCGACGGUUGUCCCGGUUUAAGCGUGUAGGCUGGUUUUCCAGGCAAAUCCGGAAAAUCAAGGCUGAGGCGUGAUGACGAGGCACUACGGUGCUGAAGCAACAAAUGCCCUGCUUCCAGGAAAAGCCUCUAAGCAUCAGGUAACAUCAAAUCGUACCCCAAACCGACACAGGUGGUCAGGUAGAGAAUACCAAGGCGCUUGAGAGAACUCGGGUGAAGGAACUAGGCAAAAUGGUGCCGUAACUUCGGGAGAAGGCACGCUGAUAUGUAGGUGAAGCGACUUGCUCGUGGAGCUGAAAUCAGUCGAAGAUACCAGCUGGCUGCAACUGUUUAUUAAAAACACAGCACUGUGCAAACACGAAAGUGGACGUAUACGGUGUGACGCCUGCCCGGUGCCGGAAGGUUAAUUGAUGGGGUCAGCGCAAGCGAAGCUCUUGAUCGAAGCCCCGGUAAACGGCGGCCGUAACUAUAACGGUCCUAAGGUAGCGAAAUUCCUUGUCGGGUAAGUUCCGACCUGCACGAAUGGCGUAAUGAUGGCCAGGCUGUCUCCACCCGAGACUCAGUGAAAUUGAACUCGCUGUGAAGAUGCAGUGUACCCGCGGCAAGACGGAAAGACCCCGUGAACCUUUACUAUAGCUUGACACUGAACAUUGAGCCUUGAUGUGUAGGAUAGGUGGGAGGCUUUGAAGUGUGGACGCCAGUCUGCAUGGAGCCGGCCUUGAAAUACCACCCUUUAAUGUUUGAUGUUCUAACGUUGACCCGUGAUCCGGGUUGCGGACAGUGUCUGGUGGGUAGUUUGACUGGGGCGGUCUCCUCCUAAAGAGUAACGGAGGAGCACGAAGGUUGGCUAAUCCUGGUCGGACAUCAGGAGGUUAGUGCAAUGGCAUAAGCCAGCUUGACUGCGAGCGUGACGGCGCGAGCAGGUGCGAAAGCAGGUCAUAGUGAUCCGGUGGUUCUGAAUGGAAGGGCCAUCGCUCAACGGAUAAAAGGUACUCCGGGGAUAACAGGCUGAUACCGCCCAAGAGUUCAUAUCGACGGCGGUGUUUGGCACCUCGAUGUCGGCUCAUCACAUCCUGGGGCUGAAGUAGGUCCCAAGGGUAUGGCUGUUCGCCAUUUAAAGUGGUACGCGAGCUGGGUUUAGAACGUCGUGAGACAGUUCGGUCCCUAUCUGCCGUGGGCGCUGGAGAACUGAGGGGGGCUGCUCCUAGUACGAGAGGACCGGAGUGGACGCAUCACUGGUGUUCGGGUUGUCAUGCCAAUGGCACUGCCCGGUAGCUAAAUGCGGAAGAGAUAAGUGCUGAAAGCAUCUAA
This 2757-nucleotide ribosomal RNA is filed under the name Escherichia coli. RNAcentral describes it as "partial 23S ribosomal RNA". It matches the Rfam family "Bacterial large subunit ribosomal RNA". Lineage: Bacteria; Pseudomonadati; Pseudomonadota; Gammaproteobacteria; Enterobacterales; Enterobacteriaceae. The record is from RNAcentral.